Molecule: ribosomal RNA, 468 nt
Filed under: uncultured bacterium
Lineage: Bacteria
Description: partial 16S ribosomal RNA
Rfam family: Bacterial small subunit ribosomal RNA
Source: RNAcentral
GACGAACGCUGGCGGCGUGCUUAACACGUGCAAGUCGAACGGAAAGGCCCUGCUUUUGUGGGGUGCUCGAGUGGCGAACGGGUGAGUAACACGUGAGUAACCUGCCCUUGACUUUGGGAUAACUUCAGGAAACUGGGGCUAAUACCGGAUAGGAGCUCCUGCUGCAUGGUGGGGGUUGGAAAGUUUCGGCGGUUGGGGAUGGACUCGCGGCUUAUCAGCUUGUUGGCGGGGUAGUGGCUUACCAAGGCUUUGACGGGUAGCCGGCCUGAGAAGGUGACCGGCCACAUUGGGACUGAGAUACGGCCCAGACUCCUACGGGAGGCAGCAGUGGGGAAUAUUGCACAAUGGGCGGAAGCCUGAUGCAGCAACGCCGCGUGCGGGAUGACGGCCUUCGGGUUGUAAACCGCUUUCGCCUGUGACGAAGCGUGAGUGACGGUAAUGGGUAAAGAAGCACCGGCUAACUACGUG